AUCGCUUCUCGGCCUUUUGGCUAAGAUCAAGUGUAGUAUCUGUUCUUAUCAGUCACAGAAAGAGCUGGGGGAGGCUUGACUCCCGCCUCCCACUCACU
Molecule: small nuclear RNA, 98 nt
Filed under: Cervus hanglu yarkandensis (Yarkand deer)
Lineage: Eukaryota; Metazoa; Chordata; Mammalia; Artiodactyla; Cervidae
Description: U2 spliceosomal RNA (ENSCHYG00000005471.1)
Rfam family: U2 spliceosomal RNA
About the family: U2 is a small nuclear RNA (snRNA) component of the spliceosome (involved in pre-mRNA splicing).
Source: RNAcentral